GGCCUCGCAGGAUCGUAUCUGGAGAAUAACCAGUAUUCUGCCAGCUUCCGAGACCGGAGGCAAAACAAGCCUGUCAGAGACCCAUUCCAUUCCCCCUUGCUCAGUAACUAGUGAGUGGAAGCUACUCUGCGACAGUG
Molecule: small nucleolar RNA, 137 nt
Organism: Echinops telfairi (small Madagascar hedgehog)
Lineage: Eukaryota; Metazoa; Chordata; Mammalia; Afrosoricida; Tenrecidae
Source: Ensembl